This 168-nucleotide non-coding RNA is filed under the name uncultured Phocaeicola sp. The record is from RNAcentral. Lineage: Bacteria; Pseudomonadati; Bacteroidota; Bacteroidia; Bacteroidales; Bacteroidaceae.
UAUUGGUUCAUUGCUUGGAGAAAGCGUGAUGAAAAGGGAAUCAGGUGAAAGUCCUGAACAGACCCGCUGCUGUAAGUUUCGCAUGAUUUUCAGGAAAUCUGCAGGCCACUGUCGGAAAGAUGGGAAGGCUCCUGAAAAGAAACAAGUCAGAAGACCUGCCAGUGUCGU